ACGAACAUGGUAUACUAACAAACGACAGUAGAGUUUAUGACGGUGGCUAUCCAAUUAAAAGUGAGGGGGGAUGCGUAUGUGCGUACUUCCAAAAUCCAGAGAGAGGAGAAGCCUUUUUGCCUGUUGAAUCAGCUUUGGAGCUAAUGAUCGGUUUCGGUUCGUUAAUCGCAACGAUCAUUU
RNAcentral lists this small RNA (180 nucleotides) under Enterococcus thailandicus. RNAcentral's name for it is "Listeria sRNA rli28". It matches the Rfam family "Listeria sRNA rli28". The record is from Rfam by way of RNAcentral. Lineage: Bacteria; Bacillati; Bacillota; Bacilli; Lactobacillales; Enterococcaceae.